RNAcentral lists this small RNA (29 nucleotides) under Bombyx mori (domestic silkworm). RNAcentral describes it as "ovarian small RNA-7524". The record is from RNAcentral. Lineage: Eukaryota; Metazoa; Arthropoda; Insecta; Lepidoptera; Bombycidae.
UCGAUCAUGGGUGGCAUGGACCACAUGGU